AGAGAAGUAGAAGGAGCUGAGAGUCAGAGGUGGGGAAGAGUGGACAAACAUCAGAUUGGCAAACCAACUCCUGCUCUGCCCUGAUGAAUCUCUUCUGGGUUCUCUGUGCUCUGCUUGCAAAUCACUGGUGUUUGGGUGAAGACAAAGAUUCAGAGCUUUGCACUUCUACAGGUGAACUUCCUGCUCCUG
Long non-coding RNA from Lacerta agilis (Sand lizard), 189 nucleotides. RefSeq lists it as uncharacterized. The record is from RefSeq and is a predicted model, not a curated record. Lineage: Eukaryota; Metazoa; Chordata; Lepidosauria; Squamata; Lacertidae. The transcript has 3 exons.